This 339-nucleotide unclassified non-coding RNA is filed under the name rhizosphere metagenome. RNAcentral's name for it is "partial ribosomal RNA internal transcribed spacer region". The record is from RNAcentral.
GUAGGUGAACCUGCGGAAGGAUCAUUAACACGUAUCCACGUAUCAACCAAACGGUAACUGUACCUCCCUGGUAAUUGUUGAGCUGUUUAAUUGAGUCAUGGUGGGUAUGCAUUCGUGCAUACGACUCGGUUCGACUAGGGCUUCGAGCUCAAGGCGCAACGCUUUAUCAGGCUUUUCUUUCCCAUCAUACCUUUCCAUCUUAAGGUACGACGAGAAUCUAACCAACCUAUUUAACCCUACUUAAUACAUUAGACUAAUACUAUUCACUUGGAGAAAUCCAAGCCUGAAUUGAGUUAUCUUAACUAAGCACAACUCUUAGCAAUGGAUAUCUUGGUUCUC